AUGAACAACAUGAAUCCAGCUGAUCUCAAGUUAGAAGAAAGCAAGGCAAAUAAGAGAAACAAUUAUGCUACUGCAGUCAAACUUUACUCUAUGCAUCCUAACGUGUAUCAAUUAUUUGAUUUCUCAGGUAAUCAGUGCCCAGUUUACCACCUUAACUCUAGUCUAGUGGCAGCAGACCGCUGCCUAGAUGAUGCAACACUGUACUCAACUAGGAGCCUUUGCUGGCUUAAGAUGGGUGAAGGAGACCAAGCUUUGAUGAAUGCUGGAAUUUGCAAGAUGAAGCGCCUAGGUUGGGCAAAGGCCUGCUACCUGCAAGGUCGACCCUCAAGCUCCAGGCUGGACUAA
This 345-nucleotide ribosomal RNA is filed under the name Triticum aestivum (bread wheat). Its description in RNAcentral is "partial small subunit ribosomal RNA". Lineage: Eukaryota; Viridiplantae; Streptophyta; Magnoliopsida; Poales; Poaceae. The record is from RNAcentral.